Molecule: long non-coding RNA, 255 nt
Filed under: Ananas comosus (pineapple)
Lineage: Eukaryota; Viridiplantae; Streptophyta; Magnoliopsida; Poales; Bromeliaceae
Description: long non-coding RNA (ACOM_LNC044444)
Source: RNAcentral
CCGAGAUCUCAAAACUGUAGAAUGCAGAUUUUUUAUCCUUUAUCUCUCGAAAACCUCCCGUCAUUCACUUUUAAUCAUUUUAACACCUUCGGACUUUCCGAAGUGUACCGUCCUCGCACUUUGGUCAAUUUGACGAAAGUUCGAUAUUUAUUUUUCGAAUUUUCGGUAUAUUACAUUCUCCACCCCUUAAAAUGAUUUCGUCCACGAAAUUACGCAUACCUUAACUCGUUGACUCAAACAGAUGCGGAUACUCUC